CCUACGGGAGGCAGCAGUGAGGAAUAUUGGUCAAUGGACGAGAGUCUGAACCAGCCAAGUAGCGUGAAGGAUGACUGCCCUAUGGGUUGUAAACUUCUUUUAUAUGGGAAUAAAACGUUCAACGUGUGGGAUUUUGUAUGUACCUUAUGAAUAAGGAUCGGCUAACUCCGUGCCAGCAGCCGCGGUAAUACGGAGGAUCCGAGCGUUAUCCGGAUUUAUUGGGUUUAAAGGGAGCGUAGGUGGAUUGUUAAGUCAGUUGUGAAAGUCUGGGGCUCAACCGUAAAAUUGCAGUUGAAACUGGCAGGCUUGAGUACAGUAGAGGUAGGCGGAAUGCGUGGUGUAGCGGUGAAAUGCUUAGAUAUCACGAAGAACUCCGAUUGCGAAGGCAGUUCACUGGACUGCAACUGACACUGAGGCUCGAAAGUGUGGGGAUCAAACAGGAUUAGAUACCCGAGUAGUC
RNAcentral lists this ribosomal RNA (460 nucleotides) under uncultured bacterium. RNAcentral's name for it is "partial 16S ribosomal RNA". It matches the Rfam family "Bacterial small subunit ribosomal RNA", at positions 338 to 795 of the family's 1533-position model. The record is from RNAcentral.